RNAcentral lists this microRNA (22 nucleotides) under Callorhinchus milii (elephant shark). Its description in RNAcentral is "Cmi-Mir-205-P1_5p (mature (guide))". Lineage: Eukaryota; Metazoa; Chordata; Chondrichthyes; Chimaeriformes; Callorhinchidae. The record is from RNAcentral.
UCCUUCAUUCCACCGGGUCCUG